AUGGAGAAAAUGGGUAGAGCAGAGCUAAAUGUGUGUGUGUGUGUGUGUGUGUGUGUGUGUGUGUGUAUGUAUGAUGGGGGGAAGCCAGAAGGGCAAGAGCCAGACACUCCAGACAACUUGAACCACCGAGACCAAAGCAGCAGAGGCAAGACUGUCAACUGGAAAUCAAACCAAGAGUCUAGAAUGGAACAAGAGACUGGAUUGAAGAAGUCAAACAUCUGCUGUCCUCCAAAACUUAAUCCUCAAUGACAGAAAUUCUAGAAGAUAGGCUGAAGCCAUCCUUGUCCUAGGGCUUGUUGGGGCUCCACAGAAGAAAAAAAGCCCUUGGAGGGGCGGAGCAAGAUGGCCGAAUAGGAACAGCUCCAGUCUCCAACUCCCAGCGGCGGCCACAGAAGACCGGUGAUUUCUGCAUUUUCAACUGAGGUACUGGGUUCAUCUCACUGGGGAGUGCCGGACGAUCGGUGCUGGUCAGCUGCUGCAGCCCAACCAGCGAGAGCUGAAGCAGGCGAGGCAUUGCCUCACCUGGGAAGCGCAAAGGGGAAGGGAAUCCCUUUUCCUAGCCAGGGGAACUGAGACACACAACACCUGGAAAAUCGGGUAACUCCCACCCCAAUACUGCGCUUUAAGCAAACAGGCACACCAGGAGAUCAUAUCCCACACCUGGCCGGGAGGGUCCCACACCCACGGAGCCUCCCUCAUUGCUAGCACAGCACUCUGUGAUCUACCGGCAAGGCAGCAGUGAGGCUGGGGGAGGGGCGCCCGCCAUUGCUGAGGCUUAAGUAGGUAAACAAAGCUGCUGGGAAGCUCGAACUGGGUGGAGCUCACAGCAGCUCAAGGAAACCUGCCUGUCUCCGUAGACUCCUCUGGGGACAGGGCACAACUAAACAACAGCAAAAGCAGCAGAAACCUCUGCAGACGCAAACGAAUCUGUCUGACAGCUUGAAGAGAGCAGUGGAUCUCCCAACACAGAAGUUGAGAUCUGAGAAGGGACAGACUGCCUGUUCAAGUGGGUCCCUGACCCCUGAGUAGCCUAACUGGGAGACAUCCCCCACUAGGGGCAGUCUGACACCCCACACCUCACUGGGUGGAGUACACCCCUGAGAGGAAGCUUCCAAAGCAAGAAUCAAACAGGUACACUAGCUGUUCAGCAAUAUUCUAUCUUCUGCAGCCUCUGCUGCUGAUACCCAGGCAAACAGGGUCUGGAGUGGACCUCAAGCAAUCUCCAACAGACCUACAGCUGAGGGUCCUGACUGUUAGAAGGAAAACUAUCAAACAGGAAGGACACCUACACCAAAACCCCAUCAGUACAUCACCAUCAUCAAAGACCAGAGGCAGAU
RNAcentral lists this long non-coding RNA (1337 nucleotides) under Macaca fascicularis (crab-eating macaque). RNAcentral's name for it is "lncRNA (ENSMFAG00000053151.1)". The record is from RNAcentral. Lineage: Eukaryota; Metazoa; Chordata; Mammalia; Primates; Cercopithecidae.